This 559-nucleotide long non-coding RNA is filed under the name Physcomitrium patens. RNAcentral describes it as "long non-coding RNA (PPAT_LNC008871)". The record is from RNAcentral. Lineage: Eukaryota; Viridiplantae; Streptophyta; Bryopsida; Funariales; Funariaceae.
UUCAAUAUAACAAAGCAAUUGAACUAAUAGAAGUGAAUUUGAACAUGAAGAAAGACUACUUUUAUGAAUUGGGUCUAUUAGUAUGACAAUUGACUAUACUCAAGCUAUCUAAAAUCAAUUAUCAAACUACAAAACACCAAGGCUUACUACUUCCGUCUUAAUUCAACACAAAAUCAAUUCUACGACUAUCAAUUCAAAAAUACUUCUAUAUUUUUAUCAAUUCAUCUCUAACUUACUGAUCUCUAGCUUACUUAUUAUAUUCAGUUUCUCAAUUCAUCACUUAGAAUUCAAUAUCUUCACUUAACACAACACAAUUCGAUAAUCUCAAUUCUCAAGAUCACAAAUUUUCUCCAAAACGGUGAAUCCAAAGUCAUAUUCCACAAUAUUCGAAUCAUAAUUUCAACAAUACUUCUUUCAAUCACAAUUCUUCAUAAGCAAAUAAUAAAAGUAAAGAAAAUAAAGAGGUAGCACCAAGCUUACCUCGGCUUACGACUAUCACAGUCUGGCCCCGAUCUCCCUUUUCUCAACCUCUUUAUCCUACCAAAAGAUGGACUGUCAA